UGGCGACUCACUGACAAACAAGUUGCACUUCCUGAAGAGAGUGUGCAACUAUGGUCCACUGAAAGAGACAUCCAGAAAGUGGCUGUCAAUGACAGAAGUGAGAAAUAAGACUGCAGGACUUACUUAGAAGCCACAUUUUUCUUCUGGUCCAUAAACUGUGAAUCUUUGUAUGGUUUGCAAAACCAACGACCCCAGAGGUCAAGCAGG
This 207-nucleotide long non-coding RNA is filed under the name Homo sapiens (human). Its description in RNAcentral is "HSALNT0378150". The record is from RNAcentral. Lineage: Eukaryota; Metazoa; Chordata; Mammalia; Primates; Hominidae.